RNAcentral lists this long non-coding RNA (390 nucleotides) under Cinara cedri. Lineage: Eukaryota; Metazoa; Arthropoda; Insecta; Hemiptera; Aphididae. The record is from RNAcentral.
AUACAUACACACUUAAUUCNUAAUUUAUUUAAAAAUAUUACCUACACUAUUUUUCAUGAGAGAAAGGAAGUGUUUCGCACACGCAGACUGAGCUUGUGGAUCACUCGCUAUCGCUCUCGUAGUCCGCAAAAUUACACCUGGCUCGAUAGUGGUGGGAGCGUAAGAAUGAUUGAUUUUCGUAGAGACUCUCUACUGUUCUUUCGUGAAAAAUAAUAUAUAUAUUAUGAAUAUUAUCCUUUAGUUUAGUUAUGCAACACAAUUGUUGGAACAAAAAUGUUAAGUAUAUUUUUGUGUGAUAUAUAUUACCCAUCUACAAUAUUAUCAUUGCCUUUAUUGAUUGGUAGAUUACCUUUAACUCAACCAAGGUAAAGCAUCAUUCUAUUUGGUAGC